Molecule: long non-coding RNA, 3073 nt
Organism: Mya arenaria
Lineage: Eukaryota; Metazoa; Mollusca; Bivalvia; Myida; Myidae
Exons: 4
Source: RefSeq, a predicted model, not a curated record
AUAUGGCCCUCUUUUUUCAAAGGCUUCAUUGAUGGAAUUCAUCUGCAAAUACAUAUGUUUCAUUUUAAAAUGUUUGGUUAGUUUAAGGUAUGUUUAUAAAAUUGUUAAAUUUGAAUACUAACUGGUAUUGUAAUAAAUAAUGAAAUGAGUUAUAUUUUGAAUGAUAACAUUAAGUAAUUAAUGAAUGUAAAUUAAAACGAAAAUGAAUCUGCCCGGUAUUGUUAUUAUUGCAAUCCCUUCCAUUAUGAUCAUUCAAGCGAGAAUUUGUCACUUGGACCUAAUAAAACUGUCACGAUUAGCAUUAACACUCCGGGGUGUCGAUUUGGCGUAUUGCAUUCGGCCCAUGAAAUUGUGUUCAUUUGGGUACAAAUAAGGUUGAAUUAGUGAACGAAGAAUUGUCCAUAUAUAAAGUUAUAAAGAUAUGUAAAUCAUGUUCAAAAUAGCAUUAACCUAAAGCACUCAUUUUAUUCCUAUACUGGUCAGCCUGUAUCUUUUCUUGAAUGUAUGAUUUGAUUUUAUUUCCUAUAAACAUUACAGAAUGAUUACACUAUAAAUAAAACACUAUUGACUUGAAAUUAAACAGUAACAUGUAUUUAUUAUCGCUGACCAACCUGAUGUUUAAUACGGAAAUAAAAUGUUUUCAAAGUCCGUUUAAUGCAUAUAUCUUACAAUAGAUGGAUACAUUUGAUCAUUUGAUACGUAAAGACAUAGUGUAAUUCUACGUCUAUUUUUAAACUUGGAAGUUAAUGAACAAGUCUUGUUGCAAUGCAGUUAAAUACAGACCGACAGGCUAUACAAAGCUGAAGCACACUAAUUUCACGUUUAGAUGGCAAUAACAAUACUCACUUUACACAUAGACGUUGAAGUCAGUCGCUUGCAUAGACCUUGUUUUGUUCUGUAAACCUUCGUGACAGCGUGUGUAGGACUCCUGUCAAUAGGAAGAAUUUUAGCUGAACAAAAAUAAUAACAGCAACAAAAUUUCUAAUUUCCUACAAAACAAGAUUUUUAUAGCUCGAUAACUGACCGAAAAUUUUUUUCAUCUGUAUAUGCUUCUACAUAUCAUUUUCAAAAGAUCAGAACAAAAUACCAAAAUCAGCGAAAUAAAAAAAAAAGAACAAACUAAAUUCGUUCGAAAAUUCGUUCGAAAAUUCUAUUGUAAGUAGUCACUCACCGAAACUCGCCGGCCGAUGAUUGGAAGAUGCUUGGAACGAUGUGUAUUCAUAAAUCAUUUGAAACAUAUCAAUCAAAUUCCUUGAAUCGCAUAGUAAGGAACUUGCGAAUUAUGUAUGAAAGUCAAUUAUUUUGACUAGCUAGCCGCGUCUAUAUCCCACUUGUUGUUUUUCUAGCAAAAAUUGACAGAUCCCAGCGCUAAGUAUUAUCGAAUGGCAAUGUUUUGUUUGAUAGACAGGUCAAAUCGAUGUAUUGAAAGAUGAAUGGAACGUGUUUCAUUCAUUCAUUCAUUAUUCAUAACAGGUCUGUUUGAACUUUAUAGAAAAUGCGUGGUGCGUUGUCAUUGUGUUUUAUUAUUUAACAAUGCCGUGUUAAAUAUUGUAGAGUUACAGUUGAAUAAUAAAUUUUACAUCAUGAAUCAAUCGCCUUGGGGCACUACUUGACACGCGUAGUAUGAAACGCACGUUUUUAUCUGGCCGUGCACUUCCGUCAAACACUGGUUCCAGGACGCUUCUGUUUGAGGCAUGAAGCCGGGGACCAAAUGGUGCAUGCCUGUCGAAAAGUAGCAUGAUACCUAUGAACGGCACUGCUUUGGCAGUACCGUCCAAAAACUACUUACAUGGCAGUUAAUGAUAAAAAAAGCUUUUUUAGCAAUUAUCGCUCAGAUAAAUACAUGCCCAGAUGUUAUUGAAGUAUUAACGUUUGUUCUGAAUAAUUCUUUUCUAAAAUUUGGUACAUGUUAUAUAAACAAACUAUAGGCAUUUCAAUGGGUGCUAAUAAUGCGGUUUUACUUGCUGUCCUCUUUUUAUACUGCUAUGUAAGUGAAUAUAUGUUCAAAAUAUCUAAGUCUUGAGAUCUUGCCCUUGAAGAUAAAUUCAAUAAUACUUUAAGAUAUAUUCCCAGCAAACAUGACCAUAUCGGACCGAUGUCGGCUGAAUAUCGGCAUAUCGGCCAGUGUUUGCCGAUAUCGGCCCGACAUCGGCCCGAUAUGGGCAUAUUGACUGAAACAUUGUAUUUGUAAUAAUACUAUAUGAUUUUAUUUCGAAUGUUUAAACAUUAUAACAUAAACAAUAGCUUUUGUUUUUUUAACAUUUUAUAAAUAUCGCGAUAUCGGUCCGAUAUUGGCCCGAUGUAUACUCUGUAUUGCUUCAAGGGAGAGCAAUGCAUAUGCUGCAACUUUCACUAGCAGUUCAUUCCCCUGGCAAUUAAUAAAUAUUUAAAUUCAUUACCAUUAAAUAAUAAAAACAAUUUAAGUUUAUAUGGUUAUUUUUAAUUAAUUCUGUAAUUAAUAGAUUCAGUUCAUGUUUAUUUGAUUUUUAUCUACGAAAUUAUUUUGUUUUAUAUUCACUGCGGUAUUUGUGCCAUUUCAACAAGAUGAUGCAAGUAAAAUCAUACUUUUGGUAUUAAUCAAUGUAUCGUAUAUUGUGGAAAGAUCGAUCAAAGUUGCAGAGAGCGGACAACUGCAAAUCGAGACACUGAAAUAGAGGAAUAAAGGCAAUCAUAGGAGAGAGGAAGCGAGUUUAAUCAGAUGAGGAUGAAUAAAUGUCAGUGACAACACCACCAAGGCAUUCGAAGGUGACAGUGGCUAUGGCAGGACUGUUCUGCAGGCAUCACAACAGUUACUAUAAGAUCCCCAAACAGUUGCACCAUCUCUACAGAGGGUGUCGCGAAAUUCCGUCGUUUCUCACAACAGAGGUGCGAGCGAAAAAUGCCGCCUGGUUGAAGACAGCAUCGGAAAGAGAUGGUGGAAGGGAAAUGAGGCAGACCCAAAUAUCUGAGUGCAUCCUUGGAACACUGGGAUGAAAAAACAAAACAAUAUUAUGUUAAAAACGCUUAAUGUUUAAUGCAGUAGCGUGAUUUUGAUAAACUGUUCAGGGGUAUUAUCCACAUCCUGUGAUAAUUC